UUACGAAAAUUCAUGGUCUGAAGUCUUUUCUUGAAGAAACAGAUAUAUUUUUAGGUCUUUCUUGUGAAAAACCGGAGUCACGAGGGUCUUUCUGGAAAAACCGGAGUCCCAUGGAUCAGUGUUUGAAUGCCCUGCAAAUAUUUCGGAAGUUUCCCAAGGUGCAAGGACCUCUCUGCAAGAUUCCAGAUCAGGUCGGAGCUGCUCCUAAUUUUGUUUCGCGGGAGCGCGCUCGUUGCCAGGUGAGCCAUGGGCCGUCGGCCCAUUCAAGUUUCCCACCUCUGUCCUUUUUUUUAAUUUUUAUUUUUCGUCUUGGGCCGAGUUUGCUGUGGACUGCAGGGGCCUGCUCGGGAGAACAAGCGUCGUGGCCAGCCCAGUUCGCAAGUCCCUUCGCGGUUGAGUAAAUUACAGAAAACCACCACUUUACUGGCUAGGGUUUCACAUAGGUACAAGUUCACGUCUUGGUGACUAAAAACCACCGGAUUUGGUUAACUGUUCGAUCCCUCGCGUCUAAACCUCAUACUAACAGGGAUGGCCCACUAUCAGGCCACGUGCCUUGACAGUGUGGCUUAUGUGUCUGGACAGCGUGGCUUCAGUCUUAGGCACAGGUACCGGAGCCACCCGGCCAUGCCGU
RNAcentral lists this long non-coding RNA (631 nucleotides) under Brachypodium distachyon (stiff brome). RNAcentral's name for it is "long non-coding RNA (BDIS_LNC003545)". The record is from RNAcentral. Lineage: Eukaryota; Viridiplantae; Streptophyta; Magnoliopsida; Poales; Poaceae.